GAUGAAGAACGUAGCGAAGUGCGAUAAGUAAUGUGAAUUGCAGAAUUCCGUGAAUCAUCGAAUCUUUGAACGCAAAUUGCACUUUCUGGUAUUCCGGAGAGUAUGCCUGUUUGAGGGUCAGUGUAAUAAAAAUAAAUCGUGGUUGUUUGCCACCUUUUCGUGGUGACGCUUCGGAAUUGAGUCGUCUUUACCCCUUCGGGUUAAGUGACUUAAAAUUUUUUCAUACGAUUUCGAAACGUAUUUAAUGCAUUAACGUACGUUCACGAAUAUCGAAUGUUUUAUUAGGUGCGGUCAUUUUCAUGAAUUCGCGUCUAUAUUUUUUUUUUUUUUGACCUCAAAUCAGGUAAGAGUACCCGCUGAACUUAAGCAUAUCAAUAAGCGGAGGA
This 386-nucleotide unclassified non-coding RNA is filed under the name soil metagenome. RNAcentral's name for it is "partial contains 5.8S ribosomal RNA, internal transcribed spacer 2, and large subunit ribosomal RNA". The stretch from base 1 to 120 matches the Rfam family "5.8S ribosomal RNA", at positions 35 to 154 of the family's 154-position model. The record is from RNAcentral.